RNAcentral lists this ribosomal RNA (497 nucleotides) under uncultured bacterium. RNAcentral describes it as "partial 16S ribosomal RNA". It matches the Rfam family "Bacterial small subunit ribosomal RNA", at positions 28 to 507 of the family's 1533-position model. The record is from RNAcentral.
GAUGAACGCUGGCGGCGUGCCCAAUACAUGCAAGUCGAGCGAACAGACGAGGAGCUUGCUCCUCUGACGUUAGCGGCGGACGGGUGAGUAACACGUGGAUAACCUACCUAUAAGACUGGGAUAACUUCGGGAAACCGGAGCUAAUACCGGAUAAUAUAUUGAACCGCAUGGUUCAAUAGUGAAAGACGGUUUUGCUGUCACUUAUAGAUGGAUCCGCGCCGCAUUAGCUAGUUGGUAAGGUAACGGCUUACCAAGGCGACGAUGCGUAGCCGACCUGAGAGGGUGAUCGGCCACACUGGAACUGAGACACGGUCCAGACUCCUACGGGAGGCAGCAGUAGGGAAUCUUCCGCAAUGGGCGAAAGCCUGACGGAGCAACGCCGCGUGAGUGAUGAAGGUCUUCGGAUCGUAAAACUCUGUUAUUAGGGAAGAACAAAUGUGUAAGUAACUAUGCACGUCUUGACGGUACCUAAUCAGAAAGCCACGGCUAACUACGUG